RNAcentral lists this long non-coding RNA (825 nucleotides) under Pan troglodytes (chimpanzee). Its description in RNAcentral is "long non-coding RNA NONPTRT002468". The record is from RNAcentral. Lineage: Eukaryota; Metazoa; Chordata; Mammalia; Primates; Hominidae.
UGACCCUGCAGCCCCUCGGCCCCGAACCAGGCCCAGCCAUGCUGUCUCUUGCAGGUGCUGGCCAAGUCCUCUGUGGGAACCCCACCAAGGGCCUGCGGGAGCGUAGGCACCAGUGCCAGGCCAGGGAGCCCCCCGAGCAGCUGCCCCAACACAGGCCAGGAGAUCCGGCCGCCAGCACUUCCACCCCAGAGCCUGACCCUGCAGACAGCUCUGACUUCCUGGCCUUGACUGGGCUUAGGGCCUGGAGGGAACAUGGCGUGCGCCCCCUCCCCUAUAGGCACCCGGAGUCCCAACAGGAAGGGGCUGUAGCCCCCUGGGGCCCACGGAGGGUCCCUGAAGAGCAAGUGCACCAGGCAGAGCCCAAGACUCCCUCCAGCCCCCCAAGCCUGGCCUCAGAGCCCUCCGGGACCUCGAGCCAGCACCUGGUCCCUUCACCUCCCAAGCACCCAAGGCCACGAGAUUCUGGCAGCAGCUCCCCGCGGUGGUCGACAGACCUGCAGUCCAGGGGGCGUCGGCUCCGAGCCCUGGGCAGCUGGGGGCCUGGCCUGGGUGAUGGGGUGGCUGCAGUGCCUGUCCUGAGAGCCCUGGAGGUGGCCUCAGGCCUAAGCCCUCGAGCCCAGGGACGUCCUGGCCCAAAGCCAGCACCAGAUGCAACAGCUAGACCUCCCAGGGCAGCUGAACUCUCUCACCCCAGCCCCGUCCCCACUUAAUAUAGCCCCCACUGCCAAGCUUGCCUGUGCUGGGGCCACGACUUGCCCACAUAUGUGGUCACAGAGCACAGAAUACCUGGGCGUGUGUGUUGGGGGGUGAAAGGAGUGCCUGGCC